UUUCCGGUGCGUCUCUAGUGCAACUCUUGGUUUUUUAUACAAGUAUUGCACUUGAGACGGCCGAAAU
Drosophila ananassae is the source of this 67-nucleotide non-coding RNA. The record is from Rfam. NCBI's taxonomy places the organism in Eukaryota, Metazoa, Arthropoda, Insecta, Diptera, Drosophilidae.